Molecule: ribosomal RNA, 479 nt
Filed under: uncultured bacterium
Lineage: Bacteria
Description: bacterial SSU rRNA
Rfam family: Bacterial small subunit ribosomal RNA
Source: RNAcentral
ACGAACGCUGGCGGCGUGCCUAACACAUGCAAGUCAACUUGACUGAAGGAGCAAUCUGACAGUAGAGUGGCGCACGGGUGCGUAACGCGUAAGUAACUUGCCCCAAGGUAAGGAAUAACGUCGAGAAAUCGGCGCUAAUACCUCAUAAUGCAGCGGAUCCGCAUGGAUAUGUUGUUAAAGGUUUACCGCCUUGGGAUAGGCUUGCGUCUGAUUAGCUAGUUGGUGUGGUAACGGCACACCAAGGCUACGAUCAGUAACUGGUCUGAGAGGAUGAUCAGUCACACUGGAACUGAGACACGGUCCAGACUCCUACGGGAGGCAGCAGUGAGGAAUAAUGGGCAAUGCUCGAAAGAGUGACCCAGCAACGCCGCGUGGAGGAUGAAGGUAUUCUAUAUCGUAAACUCCUGUGAGAGCAGACGAAAGACAGAUUAUUAAUCUGGAUGACUGUAUGCUCAGAGGAAGCCCCGGCUAACUACGUG